GACGAACGCUGGCGGCGUGCCUAAUACAUGCAAGUCGAGCGCAGAGGCUUGGUACUUGUGCCACCUGGGUGAGCAGCGGACGGGUGAGUAACGCGUGGGGAACCUGCCUUUGAGCGGGGGACAACAUUUGGAAACGAAAGCUAAUACCGCAUAACAUCUUUAAACACAAGGUUUAAGAGUGAAAGAUGCAAUUGCUUCACUCAAAGAUGAUCCCCCGGUGGAUUAGGUAGUUGGUUAGGAAAAGGGCCACCAAUGGGAAGAUACAUAGCCCGACGGGGAGGGGGGUCGGCCACCUUGGGACUGGGACACCGCCCAAGCGCCUUCGGGAGGGCGCAGUAGGGAAUCUUCGGCAAUGGAGGGAAGUCUUGCCGAGCAACGCCGCGGGAGGUGAGGAGGGUUUCCGGUCGUAAAAACCGGUUUGUAGGGAAGAACGUUGUUGGGAAGGGAAAACGCAUCUAGUGACGGUACCUACCCAGAAAGCGACGGCUAACUACGUG
RNAcentral lists this ribosomal RNA (497 nucleotides) under uncultured bacterium. RNAcentral's name for it is "partial 16S ribosomal RNA". It matches the Rfam family "Bacterial small subunit ribosomal RNA", at positions 28 to 507 of the family's 1533-position model. The record is from RNAcentral.